Molecule: unclassified non-coding RNA, 272 nt
Filed under: Hevea brasiliensis (rubber tree)
Lineage: Eukaryota; Viridiplantae; Streptophyta; Magnoliopsida; Malpighiales; Euphorbiaceae
Source: RNAcentral
AGACCCAUGGGGGCCAACAAUGGCAUGCACCCCAUGCAUACUGAGGCAACUCUUGGAAGCAAUGGCCCAUCUGCAACUGCAGGCUCUAAUGAUGUUCGUGGGGGAAGCAAACAGGAUGCCUCUGAUGCUCGGGCAUCAGCUACUGAUGGUCAAGGGAAUUCAGUUGCCGGGCACAGUGGUGGUGAUGGUUCUGAGGGCGCAAAAUGACAUUUCCUCUGCAGUGGUUCUACAUGGAUACCUCUGGCUGUUAAUAGUUAGGCAUUGCACACCGC